GCUUGUCUCAAAGAUUAAGCCAUGCAUGUCUUAGUGUAAAUAACUCUUAUGAAACUGCGAAUGGCUCAUUAAAUCAGUUAUAGUUUAUUUGAUGGUACCUACUACUCGGAUAACCGUAGUAAUUCUAGAGCUAAUACGUGCGCACAACCCGACUUCUGGAAGGGUCGUAUUUAUUAGAUAAAAGGCCAGCCGGGCUUUGCCCGACUCGCGGUGAAUCAUGAUAACUUCACGAAUCGCACGGCCUCGUGCCGGCGAUGUUUCAUUCAAAUUUCUGCCCUAUCAACUUUUGAUGGUAGGAUAGAGGCCUACCAUGGUGGUAACGGGUGACGGAGGAUUAGGGUUCGAUUCCGGAGAGGGAGCCUGAGAAACGGCUACCACAUCCAAGGAAGGCAGCAGG
RNAcentral lists this ribosomal RNA (397 nucleotides) under uncultured Nannochloris. RNAcentral's name for it is "partial small subunit ribosomal RNA". It matches the Rfam family "Eukaryotic small subunit ribosomal RNA", at positions 30 to 432 of the family's 1831-position model. Lineage: Eukaryota; Viridiplantae; Chlorophyta; Trebouxiophyceae; Chlorellales. The record is from RNAcentral.